UCAUGCCCAAAUGGUGAACCAGCUCGGAUAACGGAAAAACCGACCCAAACCAGCUCCGAUAACUGCAAAACCCGACCCGAAUCAGUAUACACAUGUCUCACGUGAUAGUAUGACGAGAAAGGUCUGAUAAUCUUCUAGAAUACACCCAGGUGUCUCCCCCAACGGCUAACUCCACGAAUCUCGGGUGCAAUGGUACGAAUUCGUACAGAUUUGGAAGAAUUUCAUUGGUUCUUGACCAUGAUUAAUUUUCCCCCAAUUUCAUUGGUCCACCCAUUUCAAAUUUUCUCAAGAAAAAUCUGAAUUUGUACAAGUUAUUGGCUGGAAAUCUGGUCCUCAGCUGGAAUUUCAAAAAUAUCCUUGUUAAAAUUCCCCAAAAUUACCCCUAAUAUUUUUCUCCCACAUUGAUGGGAGUUUGGAGUUGAACCCAGGAUUUCCCUCUAUAUAAGGCUCAUUAUAGAGCUAAAAUGGCCAAGUCUGGAAGGUGGAAAAGCUUUCGAGCAAAAAAGUUCCAUUUUUAUAGUAUAAAAUUUUUUCCGUGAAAAGUCGAUGGCUGCACGGAGUUUUUGGAGUCCCGGCAAAGUUUUCCGGGCGGUAAUCGAGAUUCCGUUGAAGGCUCGAGUCUCAUUUUAUUUCCCCGGAAAAGGUAAACACAUGUUUCCUUUCUAAUUUAUCAUCAAUUUUUCUUCAUCCCUUUCUCCGUAGUUUCGCAAUCGUAGUGGCUAGGAUUGUUUGCUGUAGAAAGCCUCGAAGGCUAUAGGAUUUUUGUGAUUGCUAUGCUCUUUCCAUCGAUUCAAUAUUCUCCCCAUAGUCGUUGGGUUACUAUUUAGUUUCUUAGUUGUUGGUUUAACCGUCUGUUCGUCCACGGUUUUAUUAUCCAUGUUAAUGUCUAAUAUAGUUUUUGAUGAUUGGUUCCCAGUUUGCUGUAAUUAGAGAAUUGGUGUCUAUGCUUGGAUCAUGUUCAUGUUUAAUACACAUUUCGUGCCUUAAAAUGAUCGCAGUAAUAGUCUAGUUUGGAUUAAUCUCAUUAUUGUGAUACGUCCAUUUCCACAGCAUCUUGUUUCUACCUAGAAUGUGAAUUUAUGUAUGAGAACUCGGUGCUUGUUUCUCUCUUGGCAGCGCCAUUCUAUUUAAAUAUCAGCUUCUCUUCGCGAAAAGCUUGCUAUGUUGAUCUUUUCUGUUGCCAUGUUCUUUAUCAUGAUUCAACUAAAAUCUAGGUUGAUCAGUUAUCUUAGUGAUAUUUGAUGAAGUAGUAAAAAGAGUUGGUUUUGAUUAGAUUUUAAACUGUGAAGUCUAUUUGCCUAAUAUACCUAUUGUCUGUAAGUUGUUCCUAAUUAUGUCACUAAUGCCUUAACACAUGUAUUAGGGGCUUAGUGAUAUGCCUACUUCGUGAAUCCUAUUGUUCGAACUAGAUCUUUAGAUUUAGUUUCUCACAGGGCAUUUAGUUAGUUCCUUUCAAAAGUGCAUUAGGCCUUUUGGUUCAAUUUUAUUUUGAUAUAUUGUUUUGAACUGCUUUAAUCUUCAUAGCAAUGUAUAACGUUGAAAUUUUUAUUUCGAUUUGGUAUGUCGAUUUGCAGUCCUUCAGUUGUCAGAACUAUGCAUAGGGUCCAUUUUUUAAAAUUCUAGUUUGAUCUGCUUAUUUGAAGUGCUUUGGUUGUAAAGACUUCGCAUACUUUAAAUUUUUAUUUUUAGGUACUUUAGUCGUAAGGGCUAUGUUUAUUGUCAAAUUUUAUUUCAAUCCUAGUCUAUUGAUUUGUAGUGUUUUAAUCGUUAGAACCAUGUAUAGUGUUCUAUUUUGAUUUUGAUUCAUUGAUUUAUUUUCAAGCCGUUGAAUCUUUUUAACUAACAUUAGAAUUAAAAUUGGAUGUGUAAGUUGGAACACUUUGUUUGUUUAUUGUUAACAUUAUGUUUGUCUUAUUUGAAUGUAUAAACUAGUUGUCUCUUUGGUUCUGUCUAGCAUUUAAUUGUAAGAUGGUUGGAGCUUUAUCUACUAAAAGAUGGCAUGAUUUUGUGGAAAGCUUUGCCUUCCUCAAGCUUAAAUCAUAUUAUUAAGUCAGCCAAGCUUGUUAAAAUGUAAAUCAGGUUAUUAUAGCUUUUCACUGUUGGCCAACUUUUUUGAGAAUUUUUAGGAUGUGCUACCGCUUGAUUACUGAUUGCCUUUUUGCUAUACUUGUUAUAUGUUGUGAGUUGAGUGUCUAUCGAAAACAGACUCUACUUCAUAUGAGGUAGCGGUAGGGACGGCACACUCUCUACUCUCCCCAAACCACACUUUAUGGGAAUACACUGGGUUUGUUGUUUUAGUAAAGUAUGAGGAUCUUAGAAAUUUAUAAUGUCCUUGAUUACUCCUUUAAAAUUGCAUAUGAGUUCUCUUUGUAAGAGCGAUUGCAUCUUGUUGCAUCCCGAAUUUACUUUUUGUGUGUUCUUUUGGAAUUUUGAUUGUAUUAACAUUUAAAGAUUUUGAAACAAUUAUGUUUUGAUCCUUCAAAAUUAUUGUCUCUAUUUCUUCCUUCUUUGAAAUUUCAAUCCUUAUGUCUUCUUUUGGAUGAUUAGGGAUGUUAGUUUUCUAGACUAUCAUUUGGCUCGGGUGAUUUAUUUUGAUAAAUGUGUACAUUUAGUCUAUAAGAUUAGUUGUUAAAUGAGUUCUUACUAGAUGGAUGGAUUCUAAUCCUUCUCCUUUCCCUUUUUGUUUGACAUGCAAAAGGUUGAGUCCGAAAUGGACUCUUCCCAUGUGCAUUUCGAUGAUGGGCCAAUGCGGCGUAUUUCCUUUUUGAGUCAUCCCAUUGAGCCCAUCAAAUUAGCUUGAUUCUUGGAGAAAGGAACUAUUGCCAAUGGAAGAAAAAUGGAUCAGGACCCACUGAUGAAGUUGCUAAGAUUAGGAGACUUGAAAAGUCUCACUUUGAUUUCUUUUAUUGAUUUGUAUUUAUUUAUUCAUUCAUUCAUCUGGGUCUCGAAGCCAAAGUUGUAAACUAAUACAGGUGAAGCAAAUUUUGGGUCAAAGGGUUCGAAAAAGAUUGUUUAGGACAGGUGCAGGUGGUUCAAGAGUUCAAUUAGAUUAGGACAGGGUUGAUAGAUUUGGGUCAACGAGCCUAAGUCUUCUAAUUCUCCUCUUCCCCUUUUACAUGCUAUUUGACUUUGAUUUGCUUAGACUUAGUUAAAUUCUCUACUAAGUUGUCAACAUUUAUUUCAUACAAGUCUUUUCCUAAAAUCACUUUCUUUUCAAAAAUCAACUUCCCUUUUUUAAAGUUAGUCAAAGGUGAUUUUCAAAUAGUCUGGAUAAUCGCAAGUUAGCGGACAUUUUAGGUGCCUUAAAAACCUUCCUAAGAUGUUAAUAAGGACCUCUUACCUAGGAUUUUCUUAAAAGCCUAAGUCUUUUUUCUAUUUUGAGACUUAGAAUUUUAUUUUAAAGUUUUCUUAAUUUCAUUUUAAAUAAAUUAAGUGGUGACUGUAAUUAUUUAGAUUAUUUAGAAAUUUUUAAAGUUUCAAAAUAGUUUUAAAAGUUGAAAUCAAUGUUUUACAACCCUUCGAGUUAAAAAGGGAUAAAACAGCUUAUACAUAAAAAUGUUAUGUAUGAAGAAACUGAUAACAUGAUAAUUUUCAUGUAAAUCAAACAUGAAUUUUAUAUAUAUGUUUUCAUACUUAGUGCUUUGAUUAUUUUUUAUGCAGCUAUGUCCUUCAUUGUCUUAACAAAGAUUGCAAAUGGAUCCUCAAGGCAUCUUGUAAGAAUGUAUUAGAUGUUUUGUGACUUGGUGAUUUGAUUCCAAACAUACUUACCGAGUUAGUGGUAGAGUUCUAAAAAAUUUAAUUACUACAACAAUUUUUGUGAGUGAAUUUACAACAACAAAGUUAGUAAAUCACAAGAGAAUACACAUCAGUGGACAUAAUUGAAGAAAUGAAGGGCAUUUAUGGAGUUGAUAUUAACAACAUGAAGGUAUGGCGAGCAAAAGAGAGGGCAAUAGCGAUGCUUAGAGAUGAUCUAGCUAAUGGAUAUCGAUAAAUAUCGCGAUAUAUUUAUAUGCAAAAUAAAGUGCAUCAUGCCUCCCAUAUUAGGAUGCAUAAGGCAGCGGAUAAUGAGUUUAAAUACUUGUUUAUUGCCUUAAAUCCCAUGAUAAGGGAUUUUCAGUUUUGCCAACCUGUUGUAGUUAUUGAUGGUGCUCAUUUAAGCGGUCCAUACAAAGAAACUUUUCUUUCGGCAAGCACACUUGAUGGUGUCGGUAUUAGUCAUACUUUUUUAUCCUUUUAUAUAGUGUUAUUUGAAAAGUUCAUUAAUUUUUGCGGUCUAUUAGUGUUUAAUUCAAAAUACAUAUUAUAGCGUCAAAAUAUUUGUUGGGUUAUAAUGUAUUUUUUUUGUUAAUUAGGUUGUAUUCUGCCAUUAGCUUACGGGGUUGUAGAUUCUGAGAAUUAUAAUUCGUUGACUUGAUUUUUCUAUCAAUUUAGGAAUGUUUUUGGCGAACGUGACAACAUGUGUGUUGUAUCGGAUCGAAACAAAAGUAUCAUAAAAAGUUUGAGCAUUGUGUAUCCUAAUGUCCCGCAUCCAGCAUGUAUUUGACACUUAUGGAAAACAUUCGCACUAAUUUUAGGAAAAGCAAAGGUAGACUUAGUGGCCAGUAUUAUUCUAUGGCUAAAGCUUAUAGAAAAGAAGAUUUUAAUUACAUUAUGUUAAAGGUUGCUAAAGAUGAUCAUAGGGUUAAGGAUCACCUGAAAGAAGUUGGAUAUGAAAAAUGAUCUCGAAGUCACUCACCUGUAAAUAGAGGUAGGAUCAUGAACUCUAAUAUAGUUGAAUAUAUUAAUGGUUGCUUGGUGGAGGCGGGUGAACUGCCUGUUUUAGGAUUUCUCAAAGGAGCAAGAAUUUUGUUUGCGGCAUGGAAUUGUAAAAAUAGUAAAAUUGUAUCUUAUACCAAGACAACCUUAGAGAGAAUAUUUGAAGAUAUUCUGACUCUUUAUGAGAUGAAAGCUUCUCGGAUGAUGGUAUGUCUUCGAAUAUAUAUAUGCAAUUAUAUUAAUUUUUUUCAUUUAUAAUUUUUAUUUUAUCAUAUGUAUUAAAGAUUGUGUGUGUAACAAGUUAAGGCAGCUGCAGUUAUCUUUAUUGUGUAUAUGAAUUCGAAAAAAGAUACAUUGUCGAUAUUGAACGUGACAGUGAAACUAUGGCCGGUAUCAAAGUGAUGAAAUAUCUUGCCCUCACGCAAUUGCAGUAUUGAAGAGUAAAUAUGUAGAUGAUUAUAGUCCUUACUGCUUAGAUUUAUAUAGGCCAAAUACUAUUGUUAAGACGUAUGAGUUUUCAAUAAUUUCAAUGCCAGACAUGAAGGAUUGAAAAGUGCCUCAAUUUGGUGAAGAUAAAG
Molecule: long non-coding RNA, 5333 nt
Filed under: Capsicum annuum
Lineage: Eukaryota; Viridiplantae; Streptophyta; Magnoliopsida; Solanales; Solanaceae
Description: long non-coding RNA (CANN_LNC007114)
Source: RNAcentral